Non-coding RNA from Bacteroides xylanisolvens XB1A, 82 nucleotides. The record is from Rfam. NCBI's taxonomy places the organism in Bacteria, Pseudomonadati, Bacteroidota, Bacteroidia, Bacteroidales, Bacteroidaceae.
AUGCUAAUCGACCUGAAGCUGUUUAUGAGUAUGCGAAUAUACGUAAAUAGUACUUAUGCCUCCCCGGCAUAGACAGGAAAGA